RNAcentral lists this transfer RNA (72 nucleotides) under Camelus bactrianus (Bactrian camel). It matches the Rfam family "tRNA". Rfam says of the family: Transfer RNA (tRNA) molecules are approximately 80 nucleotides in length. Their secondary structure includes four short double-helical elements and three loops (D, anti-codon, and T loops). RNAcentral also lists the same sequence under 2 other names. The record is from Rfam by way of RNAcentral. Lineage: Eukaryota; Metazoa; Chordata; Mammalia; Artiodactyla; Camelidae.
GCUAGUAUAGCUCAGUGGUAGAGCACAUGCCUAGCAUGCAUGAGGUUCUGGGUUCAAUCCACAGUACCUCCA